This 363-nucleotide ribosomal RNA is filed under the name uncultured eukaryote. Its description in RNAcentral is "partial 18S ribosomal RNA". It matches the Rfam family "Eukaryotic small subunit ribosomal RNA", at positions 592 to 976 of the family's 1831-position model. The record is from RNAcentral.
CAAUAGCGUAUACUAAUGUUGUUGCAGUUAAAAAGCUCGUAGUUGAACUUCUGGUAGGAGUGUCCCGGCCUUUUUGUUUUUACAAAUUGUAUGCUGUGUGACAUCUCUGGCCAUCCUUCUUCUUUGUUUAAAGAAGAUCUUUCACUGUAAAAAAAUUAGGGUGUUCAAAGAAAAAGUUUCUUUGGAAUAUAUUAGUAUGGGAUGAUAAGAUAGGCUCUAGAUGCUAUUUUGUUGGUUUGCACAUUUAGAGAAUGAUUAACAGGGACAGUUGGGGGUAUUCGUAUUUACAUGUCAGAGGUGAAAUUCUUGGAUUUUGGAAAGACGAACUACUGCGAAAGCAUUUACCAAGGAUGUUUUCAUUAA